CCUACGGGGGGCUGCAGUAAGGAAUAUUGGUCAAUGGACGAAAGUCUGAACCAGCCAUCCCGCGUGCAGGAUGAAAGCCCUAUGGGUUGUAAACUGCUUUUAGCAGAGAAGAAAAGCUUUCAUUAAUGAGAGUCUGACGGUAUCUGCAGAAUAAGCACCGGCUAACUCCGUGCCAGCAGCCGCGGUAAUACGGAGGGUGCGGGCGGUAUCCGGAAGUAAGGGGUUGUAGGGGUGCUAAGGCGUCAGUGGUGAAAUCUUGUCGCUUAACGAUAAAAUUGCCAAUGAUACUGGUACUAUUGAAUGGGGUUGAGGUUAGCGGAAUGUGACAUGUAGCGGUGAAAUGCAUAGAUAUGUCAUGGAACACCAAUUGCGAAGGCAGCUAACUGGGCCUUGAUUGACGCUGAGGCACGAAAGCGUGGGUAGCGAACAGGAUUAGAUACCCUUGUAGUC
This 450-nucleotide ribosomal RNA is filed under the name uncultured bacterium. RNAcentral describes it as "partial 16S ribosomal RNA". It matches the Rfam family "Bacterial small subunit ribosomal RNA", at positions 338 to 795 of the family's 1533-position model. The record is from RNAcentral.